UACGUAGGUGGCAAGCGUUGUCCGGAUUUACUGGGCGUAAAGAGCGCGCAGGCGGUCGUUCAAGUCGCGUGUGAAAGCCCCCGGCUCAACUGGGGAGGGUCACGCGAUACUGAUCGACUCGAAGGCAGGAGAGGGUAGUGGAAUUCCCGGUGUAGUGGUGAAAUGCGUAGAUAUCGGGAGGAACACCAGUGGCGAAGGCGGCUUUCUGGGCAUUUCCUGACGCUGAGACGCGAAAGCGUGGGGAGCGAACCGG
This 253-nucleotide ribosomal RNA is filed under the name uncultured bacterium. RNAcentral's name for it is "partial 16S ribosomal RNA". It matches the Rfam family "Bacterial small subunit ribosomal RNA", at positions 524 to 776 of the family's 1533-position model. The record is from RNAcentral.